UACGAAGGGGGCAAGCGUUGUUCGGAAUUACUGGGCGUAAAGGGCGCGUAGGCGGCUUAUCAAGUCAGGCGUGAAAUUCCCGGGCUCAACCUGGGGGCUGCGCUUGAUACUGAUUGGCUUGAAUGCGGGAGAGGAUAGUGGAAUUCCCGGUGUAGUGGUGAAAUGCGUAGAUAUCGGGAGGAACACCAGUGGCGAAGGCGACUACCUGGCCUGUUUCUUGACGCUGAGGCGCGAAAGCUAGGGGAGCAAACGGG
This 254-nucleotide ribosomal RNA is filed under the name uncultured bacterium. RNAcentral's name for it is "partial 16S ribosomal RNA". It matches the Rfam family "Bacterial small subunit ribosomal RNA", at positions 524 to 776 of the family's 1533-position model. The record is from RNAcentral.